Molecule: long non-coding RNA, 1216 nt
Filed under: Bemisia tabaci
Lineage: Eukaryota; Metazoa; Arthropoda; Insecta; Hemiptera; Aleyrodidae
Description: lncRNA ENSSSA1UGG009979
Source: RNAcentral
AUGGGCCGUAACACGUGUCUUCACCAGGUCCCACCCCCCGGAACCCUCCUUCGCGCCUGUAAAACCGCGCACCCGCUCCGGGUCCCCGUGGGGAGCUGCGCGGUUUGGUCGCGUUGGGGCGGAAUCAUCUUCAAUCCACCCCGCUGGUGCCCCGCACAAAAACAAAGGCUUCAAUUUAUGAACUCCGACGCGCGCGUCAAUAUUGCCGACGUCUUGUCAACAACACGAGCUUGUUUAUUUGCUCGCUUGCCCAACGCUCGCUGACGAUGGAUGCAACGUUUCCAAGGCGUCACUCCUCCUUGCGCGGCCGAGAUGUACCCAACAUACGACCCUCCCCUGUCAAGCUUCGCUCGGAGAUUAAAUCCACUAUUAUUUUGUUUCUUACUUGGAGGGUGUUUCGCAUGAAGUAGAGUUAAGUAACGUCUUCGUGAUUCAGAGAAAAACGAUGCUUACAGUUGGAGAAAAACGAGGUGGAUAAGUUUUCGAUAAAAAUGGGGUUAAAACACGAUUAACGAGUCGAAAAAAUAAGCGUCAAAUUUAAAAAAAAUAAUUACUGGAAAUGACUAACAUCUCUGUUUUUUUUUUUCUUUUUCGGAGUAAGACGUAUUUACAGGAAAUGCUUACAGCGGUAAUGUGAAACACGCAUACCCUAUGUCAAUAGCUCAUUGCGAUGUAGAACAAUUAUUUUGAUCAUGUUCCUUGUAUUUGGACGUAUUUCUGACAAACGGAACUCUAUACAUUAUGACGUGAGCCCUGUUAUGCAUGUAUUCUUAUGAGUCUCAGGGCUCAUGGCUUAAUGCACAUAGUUGCGUUUGAUAGAAAUACGUCUAUUUGUAACUUGAAAACGUCACGAACCAUAAAUUCUCAAUAUAUUUGAUGUUUUCGGUCUUUUCUGCAAGCAAGCAUAGUAUAUGACUAAAAUUUUGACGAAGUAGGCACACAAGUAUAGGACCUCGGGUGAAUAAUAAACUUAAGUAUUGAAACUGUGUGAUUUAACUUUUUAGUGUUUUUAAUGUCUUUAGCUUUUUUAACCCAUGCUCACAACAGAUGUUGCCAGGCCCUCGCGCUUGGUAGCUUUACGUAUAAUUAUCAGAAGGAAGGUAUUGUUUUUAGUUUUGGGGACAACGCCUUAACAAAACUACUCUGCUGGUGUAUUUUUUCCAUGCAGUUUUAAUGUGCGGUUUUGGAGAAUUUCCAUUUCAAUGCUUUGAUGCAA